AGUGAACGCUGGCGGUAGGCCUAACACAUGCAAGUCGAACGGCAGCACAGUAAGAGCUUGCUCUUACGGGUGGCGAGUGGCGGACGGGUGAGGAAUACAUCGGAAUCUACUUUUUCGUGGGGGAUAACGUAGGGAAACUUACGCUAAUACCGCAUACGACCUACGGGUGAAAGCAGGGGAUCUUCGGACCUUGCGCGAUUGAAUGAGCCGAUGUCGGAUUAGCUAGUUGGCGGGGUAAAGGCCCACCAAGGCGACGAUCCGUAGCUGGUCUGAGAGGAUGAUCAGCCACACUGGAACUGAGACACGGUCCAGACUACUACGGGAGGCAGCAGUGGGGAAUAUUGGACAAUGGGGGCAAGCCUGAUCCAGCCAUACCGCGUGGGUGAAGAAGGCCUUCGGGUUGUAAAGCCCUUUUGUUGGGAAAGAAAAGCAGCAGGUUAAUACCCCGCUGUUCUGACGGUACCCAAAGAAUAAGCACCGGCUAACUUCGUG
Molecule: ribosomal RNA, 492 nt
Filed under: uncultured bacterium
Lineage: Bacteria
Description: partial 16S ribosomal RNA
Rfam family: Bacterial small subunit ribosomal RNA
Source: RNAcentral